RNAcentral lists this long non-coding RNA (243 nucleotides) under Brachypodium distachyon (stiff brome). Its description in RNAcentral is "long non-coding RNA (BDIS_LNC003588)". The record is from RNAcentral. Lineage: Eukaryota; Viridiplantae; Streptophyta; Magnoliopsida; Poales; Poaceae.
AUUGUCGGAUUGGAAAUUGAAAUGUGAUUCAAAUCUUGGUCCUUGAUGAGCAGGUCGCUUGCGUCCUACGGAUUGUAGGUACAGAUCUACCACAUGACGAGGGGUACGGCAUUUCGUUGUAAUGUGCUUGUAGCACCCACAUUUUUGACAAACUUUAGAUUUGUCGUAUUGUGAUUUGGAAUUGCCUUUCCCCUUUUCCUGUACACGUGGCUUGUUUUUGUUGUUAUUGCCCUUUUGCUUGCC